UACGGAGGGGGCUAGCGUUGUUCGGAAUUACUGGGCGUAAAGCGCACGUAGGCGGCUUUGUAAGUUAGAGGUGAAAGCCCGGGGCUCAACUCCGGAAUAGCCUUUAAGACUGCAUCGCUAGAAUUGUGGAGAAGUAAGUGGAAUUCCGAGUGUAGAGGUGAAAUUCGUAGAUAUUCGGAAGAACACCAGUGGCGAAGGCGACUUACUGGACACAUAUUGACGCUGAGGUGCGAAAGCGUGGGGAGCAAACAGG
This 253-nucleotide ribosomal RNA is filed under the name uncultured bacterium. RNAcentral's name for it is "partial 16S ribosomal RNA". It matches the Rfam family "Bacterial small subunit ribosomal RNA", at positions 524 to 776 of the family's 1533-position model. The record is from RNAcentral.